RNAcentral lists this transfer RNA (73 nucleotides) under Bacteroidetes bacterium QH_7_62_13. RNAcentral's name for it is "tRNA-Ala". It matches the Rfam family "tRNA". From Rfam's summary of the family: Transfer RNA (tRNA) molecules are approximately 80 nucleotides in length. Their secondary structure includes four short double-helical elements and three loops (D, anti-codon, and T loops). The record is from RNAcentral. Lineage: Bacteria; Pseudomonadati; Bacteroidota.
GGGGCCAUAGCUCAGUUGGUAGAGCGCUUGCAUGGCAUGCAAGAGGUCCCGGGUUCGAAUCCCGGUGGCUCCA